AUACGGAGGAUCCGAGCGUUAUCCGGAUUUAUUGGGUUUAAAGGGAGCGUAGGCGGACGCUUAAGUCAGUUGUGAAAGUUUGCGGCUCAACCGUAAAAUUGCAGUUGAUACUGGGUGUCUUGAGUACAGUAGAGGCAGGCGGAAUUCGUGGUGUAGCGGUGAAAUGCUUAGAGAUCACGAAGAACUCCGAUUGCGAAGGCAGCCUGCUGGACUGUAACUGACGCUGAUGCUCGAAAGUGUGGGUAUCAAACAGGAUUAGAUACCCUGGUAGUCCACACAGUAAACGAUGAAUACUCGCUGUUUGCGAUAUACAGUAAGCGGCCAAGCGAAAGCGUUAAGUAUUCCACCUGGGGAGUACGCCGGCAACGGUGAAACUCAAAUGAAUUGACGGGG
RNAcentral lists this ribosomal RNA (393 nucleotides) under uncultured bacterium. Its description in RNAcentral is "partial 16S ribosomal RNA". It matches the Rfam family "Bacterial small subunit ribosomal RNA", at positions 523 to 918 of the family's 1533-position model. The record is from RNAcentral.